Molecule: ribosomal RNA, 253 nt
Filed under: uncultured bacterium
Lineage: Bacteria
Description: partial 16S ribosomal RNA
Rfam family: Bacterial small subunit ribosomal RNA
Source: RNAcentral
UACGAAGGUGGCAAGCGUUGUUCGGAUUUACUGGGCGUAAAGAGCGCGCAGGCGGUCGUUCAAGUCGCGUGUGAAAGCCCCCGGCUCAACUGGGGAGGGUCACGCGAUACUGAUCGACUCGAAGGCAGGAGAGGGAAGUGGAAUUCCCGGUGUAGUGGUGAAAUGCGUAGAUAUCGGGAGGAACACCAGUGGCGAAGGCGACUUCCUGGCCUGUUCUUGACGCUGAGGCGCGAAAGCUAGGGGAGCAAACGGG